UGGGGGAUAUUGCACAAUGGAGGAAACUCUGAUGCAGCAACGCCGCGUGAGGGAAGACGGUUUUCGGAUUGUAAACCUCUGUCCUUAGGGAAGAUAAUGACGGUACCUAAGGAGGAAGCUCCGGCUAACUACGUGCCAGCAGCCGCGGUAAUACGUAGGGAGCAAGCGUUGUCCGGAUUUACUGGGUGUAAAGGGUGCGUAGGCGGCUUAGCAAGUCAGGCGUGAAAUAUAUGGGCUUAACCCAUAGACUGCGUUUGAAACUGUUGAGCUUGAGUGAAGUAGAGGUAGGCGGAAUUCCCGGUGUAGCGGUGAAAUGCGUAGAGAUCGGGAGGAACACCAGUGGCGAAGGCGGCCUACUGGGCUUUAACUGACGCUGAGGCACGAAAGCAUGGGUAGCAAACAGG
Molecule: ribosomal RNA, 404 nt
Filed under: uncultured prokaryote
Also listed under: 1 other name
Description: bacterial SSU rRNA
Rfam family: Bacterial small subunit ribosomal RNA
Source: RNAcentral